Molecule: long non-coding RNA, 1271 nt
Organism: Gopherus flavomarginatus (Mexican gopher tortoise)
Lineage: Eukaryota; Metazoa; Chordata; Testudines; Testudinidae
Exons: 3
Source: RefSeq, a predicted model, not a curated record
UGCUAAAACAUAAUUUCCAAAAAUGAAACUGACUAUUCUGUGUCCGCUGUCUAAGAUAAUUUAAAGCUAAGCUUUAGUAAACUAAGGUGUCCCACAAAGAAAGACAUUUAUUAGACAUACUGCUAAGUCUAACCAUACCCCUUUAAUUUGUUGCUUACUUUUUGAUACUGUUUCAGACUAUACAGGAGAUUGAGCUGGGACUUGUUUAAGACAUACAUCAUCAUCCAAGCCAACCUCUAGUUGACAGGAUUUCGGAAGAAACAUCUCAGGACUACAGUGACCUAUUUAGACAUUAGUGUAUUCCUCUUAAUCAUUCACCUCCAGUUACAACUACUUCAAACCAACUGCACCACUGAAAAGCCACCUGCUUUACCAGGCUCAAGAGAAAACCAGGCUUAAAAGCUGCUUCAGGCAUGAAGAUAGCAGCUACAGCUCUGCUAUAUCUUCAGAACAUCUGCAAAUCUACUUCAUCUCUGCUUUUUAACUGACAGUAUUUUAUCCUGGUUCCCAAGAGAACCACACUAAAGGAGUAUGGUUUCAUACCGGUGUAUAGAAGGGACUGUGCACGUACAAUCUUUUUGCAAUAUAACCAACUAUCUUUUGUGAACAAAGUUCCUGUGUAAAACCUUGAAGAGUUACCCUUAAGCUUAUUACAAGAUAAAUCCCUGCCUAUAGUAUUGUGAAGAUGCCAGUAACACAGACAGAUUGUCUCCAGGACACUUCUACGCCCACUUGUGAUUGUGAAGAACACCUGCCAAGCUACCUGUUUCUCCUCUCCACACAUUGCUGAGCUCUCUGGACAUUCCUUUCCCCACUGGUGGCUGACCGCUCCAGUUCCAUUAGUGGCCCCAGUCCUUAAGGAAAGACCCUGUUACCUCUCCUCUUCUUAGGAAGAGGAGGAGGCUGGUAGAGGCAGCAAGACUGGCUUCUCCUUAUUUCCAGCUGCUUUUAUAGGCUUCCACACUCUUCUUUGCAAUGAACAACCUAGAGACCUGUAGAAGCAACUGUCAGAGAGCAAAGAUCAUGUGAUCUGGCAGCUCCUGGGCCAUCAGUCAGUACUCUGGCUAUCACCAAUCGUCCACAGACCACAGUUUGGGAACCACUGGUUUAAACAGUAAAUGUAGAAGCAACUGAAGCUGAUGUUCUGUUAUUUCUCAGUGUUCUCCCUAUUGGAUGUUCACAGAUAGUUACAUAUCUUGUUGAAGGCUGCAAUGGGUAGAUAUAUUGCAAUACCAGUAACAUUAAAUGGAACAUGAUGAUUUACAAUAGAC